UUGGAGGGCAAGUCUGGUGCCAGCAGCCGCGGUAAUUCCAGCUCCAAUAGCGUAUAUUAAAGUUGUUGCAGUUAAAAAGCUCGUAGUUGAACUUCGGGAUCAAUGGAUUGGUCAUGCCGUUGGUAUGUACUGGUCAUAUUGGUUCUCACCUUCUAAGGAACCUUAAUGUCAUUCAUUUGAUGUUUUGGGGAAUUAGGACUGUUACCUUGAAAAAAUUAGAGUGUUUAAAGCAGGCUAACGCUUGAAUACAUUAGCAUGGAAUAAUGAAAUAGGACAUCGCAUUCUAUUUUGUCGGUUUCUAGGAUCGAUGUAAUGAUUAAUAGGGAUAGUUGGGGGCAUUAGUAUUCAAUUGUCAGAGGUAAAAUUCUUGGAUUUAUUAAAGACUAACUACUGCGAAAGCAUUUGCCAAGGAUGUUUUCAUUAAUCAAGAACGAAAGUUAGGGGAUCGAUGACGAUCAGAUACCGUCGUAGUCUUAACCAUAAACUAUGCCGACUAGGGAUCGGAUGAUGUUGAUUUUUUAAUGACUCAUUCGGCGCCUUACGGGAAAC
Molecule: ribosomal RNA, 549 nt
Filed under: uncultured fungus
Lineage: Eukaryota; Fungi
Description: SSU rRNA
Rfam family: Eukaryotic small subunit ribosomal RNA
Source: RNAcentral